Lactuca sativa (garden lettuce) is the source of this 1007-nucleotide non-coding RNA. Lineage: Eukaryota; Viridiplantae; Streptophyta; Magnoliopsida; Asterales; Asteraceae. The record is from RefSeq and is a predicted model, not a curated record.
AUCAGCCCUAAAUUCCAGAAAUCUGGGAUUUAAUCCCAUAUAGAGAUUCGAUUUUCCAAUAUCAACCCUAAAGGAUCGCCUUUCUUCUUCAGUAUCUCUCUCUCUCUCUCUCUCUCUCUCUCUCUCUCUCUCAUUUGACGAUUUCUUUAGCCACCAAGUCUUAACCAUCUAUGUUGUGUAAUUCCACCGCUUAUGUGCGAAAAGGAAGUUCAAACUGGCGAGAUCGAUUCUGAUGGUUUCCGAUCCACACUUUGUUGAUCGUAGUUGUUUCUGAUAGCACGUUGUCCGUUUGGUUUAGAAAUCCAUGGAGGGAUCAUGGUUUCUCCAUUAUGUGUGUUGUGUGUUGUAGACGGAUGUCCGGGGCAACUAAGUUGACGGUUACCUCUUCCAAGCUGCUUGCCACCUUCUCAUAAUCAAAGCUUCUCAGGAAAUUUAAGUUUGAUUUGAUCUGUUCUCAUGUUACCGCCAUGUUUAUGCUCUGAUUCAAGCAAGCCUACUUCAGUUUUCUUGUUUACAUGGUAACACUUGCUAAUAUUUCCAUAUGAUUAUAUAUGGUGAGGUUUUUUAAUUUCAGGCAUUGAGUUCUCUUUUCAUUUGGAAAGAAAAGAAUUUGUAUCUAGCUUCCAUCUGUUGCUGUUAUUUUCAGAAAAAAUAAGACGUCAAUAAAGGAGUGUCAAAAAUUUAGAUAUUAUCUUUUAUAAAAGAAAUUUAGAUGUAUUUUAGCUCUGGUCAGCCUUCUUUGAGGUAUAUCUUAUAAAAUAUUGGUAACAUUAUACAUCCCCUGAUUCAGGAGAAAUUCAAAAUGACCUAAAUGUAUAUUCCUCUUUUAUCCUUUGAUAAUUUUACUUUUCUUUUGCUAGAUACUCAAAAAACUUUCAGUCCAUUACUUUUUAUCUAUUUGAUUUAUUCGUAUGCUAAGACCAACAAAAUAGCAUCUUCAUCCAACUAAGGGAUAAGAGUGGGCAAAAGGAAUUAAUUUAGGCUGGGUAAAAGCAACAUGAUUUUUA